This 650-nucleotide small RNA is filed under the name uncultured fungus. Its description in RNAcentral is "eukaryotic LSU rRNA". The stretch from base 213 to 367 matches the Rfam family "5.8S ribosomal RNA". Lineage: Eukaryota; Fungi. The record is from RNAcentral.
GGAAGGAUCAUUACAGAAUUGUCAACGGGUUGUUGCUGGUCCUCGAACGGGGACAUGUGCACGCUCUGUUUACACAUCCACUCACACCUGUGCACCCUCCGUAGUUCUGUGGUCUGGGGGACCCCUGUCCUCCUGCCGUGGUUCUAUGUCUUUACACACACACUGUAAUAAAGUAUUAUGGAAUGCAUGCCGCGUCUAACGCAAUACAAUACAACUUUCAGCAACGGAUCUCUUGGCUCUCGCAUCGAUGAAGAACGCAGCGAAAUGCGAUAAGUAAUGUGAAUUGCAGAAUUCAGUGAAUCAUCGAAUCUUUGAACGCACCUUGCGCCCCUUGGCUAUUCCGAGGGGCAUGCCUGUUUGAGUAUCAUGAACACCUCAACUCUCACGGUUCGCCGUGAUGAGCUUGGACUCUGGGGGUUUUGCUGGCCUGCGGUCGGCUCCCCUCAAAUGAAUCAGCCUCCCAGUGUUUGGUGGCAUCACGGGUGUGAUAAAUAUCUACGCUCGCAGUUGUCCGCCAGGUAACCUUUGGUGACAAAGGUUCGCUGGAGCUCACAGAUGUCUCUCCUCAGCGAGGACAGCUUUUUGAACGUUCGAUCUCAAAUCAGGUAGGACUACCCGCUGAACUUAAGCAUAUCAAUAAGCGGAGGAAA